ACAGUGGUGAUUCAGUGGUAGAAUUCUUGCCUUCCAUUUGGGAGAUCCGGGUUCGAUUCCUGGCCAGUGCA
Molecule: transfer RNA, 71 nt
Filed under: Loxodonta africana (African savanna elephant)
Lineage: Eukaryota; Metazoa; Chordata; Mammalia; Proboscidea; Elephantidae
Rfam family: tRNA
About the family: Transfer RNA (tRNA) molecules are approximately 80 nucleotides in length.
Source: Rfam by way of RNAcentral